CAGAUUGAACGCUGGCGGCAGGCCUAACACAUGCAAGUCGAGCGGCAGCACGGGUACUUGUACCUGGUGGCGAGCGGCGGACGGGUGAGUAAUGCCUAGGAAUCUGCCUGGUAGUGGGGGAUAACGCUCGGAAACGGACGCUAAUACCGCAUACGUCCUACGGGAGAAAGCGAGGGGACCUUUCGGGCCUUGCGCUAUCAGAUGAGCCUAGGUCGGAUUAGCUAGUUGGUGAGGUAAUGGCUCACCAAGGCGACGAUCCGUAACUGGUCUGAGAGGAUGAUCAGUCACACUGGAAACUUG
RNAcentral lists this ribosomal RNA (300 nucleotides) under uncultured soil bacterium. RNAcentral's name for it is "bacterial SSU rRNA". It matches the Rfam family "Bacterial small subunit ribosomal RNA", at positions 25 to 323 of the family's 1533-position model. The record is from RNAcentral.